RNAcentral lists this ribosomal RNA (340 nucleotides) under uncultured Thermomonospora sp. RNAcentral describes it as "bacterial SSU rRNA". It matches the Rfam family "Bacterial small subunit ribosomal RNA", at positions 337 to 694 of the family's 1533-position model. The record is from RNAcentral. Lineage: Bacteria; Bacillati; Actinomycetota; Actinomycetes; Streptosporangiales; Thermomonosporaceae.
UCCUACGGGAGGCAGCAGUGGGGAAUCUUGUGCAAUGAGCGAGCCUGACGCAGCGACGCCGCGUGGGGGAUGAAGGCCUUCGGGUUGUAAACCUCUUUCAGCAGGGACGAAGGUGACGUGUACCUGCAGAAGAAGCGCCGGCUAACUACGUGCCAGCAGCCGCGGUAAUACGUAGGGCGCGAGCGUUGUCCGGAAUUAUUGGGCGUAAAGAGCUCGUAGAGCGGCUGGUCGCGUCUGCCGUGAAAGGCCUGGGCUUAACUUGGGUUUUGCGGUGGAUACAGGCCGGCUAGAGGUAGGUAGGGGAGAACGGAAUUCCUGGUGUAGCGGUGGAAUGCGCAGA